GGCAGUUUUACUUUUUUAAUAGAUUAAGGAAAACGUUUCAUAAAAUUUUCAAACUUUUAAAAAUAGUUUUCAUAUUUUCAUAUCUUAGUGUCCUCCUGUGCUGAUAUGCAUUAAGCAUAUGUGUAAACGCUGUAUGUUUUGUCCUAAUAUAGUUAUAAACAUUUUUUGAAAAGUUCUCUGUUCAGUUGCAGGACCGUUAGUCAAUCUGUUUUGAUGCUCUUAUAUCUGGGCUUCUUUUUGCAAAGCUUUUGUGUUAGUCUUUUUUUAAUCUUUUUUUUUUGUUUUUUACUUCACACAGGAAUUUGGCAUCCUGAGCAACGACACCGCUUUUGUAACGGAUAAUGGCUCAAAUGUGGUUGCAGCAUUCAAGGAUUAUGUCCGACUCUCCUGUGCUGGCCAUAAUAUCAACUUAAUCUUAAAACAUGUAUUUGACCACUUGGACGAGGACAACCCAGUGCACAGCAACAUCAUCAAGCUGUUUAAGGACACAAAGACCCUUGUCACACACUUCAAAAGAGCAGGGUUGCAAAAAGCACUGGACCAGUCACUGAAGCAAUCUGUGGAGACGAGGUGGAAUACCAGACUAGCAAUGCUCUAAUCUGUUAAUGAUGCUCUGAGAUCUGGGAGGCUGCAUGACAUCUUGCUUCACCGAAACGAGCUCCGUUACCUCAACAACAUAGACUGCGAACUUCUUGAAGACAUCAUCCAACUCCUGAAACCUUUCGAUGAGGCUACCAGGCAUCUCUCCACUGAUCAGACACCUACCCUUCACCUUGUCCUCCCGACCAAGGCUACUCUACUGAGGGGUUUGUCGAUCCAGGAUGGAGACAGUGUGAUUGUAAAAGAGAUCCACCCCCAGAGCAAGGAGCUACGGAGGUGCAUAACUUCUUUGCAAGUUGUGUAGAAGAGGAGGAGAGGAAGGAGGACAGUGGUGAUAUGGAGUCACAUGGUCGCCAGUUGGUGCUGCAAUACAUGAGUGACACUAAGUUGACACGUUUCCAGUGUCUUCUUGACUUCUGGCGGGAGAUGUCAGGUGGGCUCGUACCAGUUGCCAAGAGGCUGCUAGCUA
This is a long non-coding RNA of Carassius auratus (goldfish), 1069 nucleotides long. RefSeq lists it as uncharacterized. The record is from RefSeq and is a predicted model, not a curated record. The transcript has 3 exons. Lineage: Eukaryota; Metazoa; Chordata; Actinopteri; Cypriniformes; Cyprinidae.